Solenopsis invicta (red fire ant) is the source of this 1579-nucleotide RNA transcript. It is a transcript of the gene named heat shock factor-binding protein 1, with no coding region annotated. Lineage: Eukaryota; Metazoa; Arthropoda; Insecta; Hymenoptera; Formicidae. The record is from RefSeq and is a predicted model, not a curated record. The transcript is spliced from 3 exons.
UCGCGCAAUAAUAAGAGAGAUACGUUUGAGAAUUCAAUUUCCAAGUUUUCCGCAACACCGGUGCGGCGGUCUCAUCGUCGUUUGGGAUAUCGGGGACCGCACGUCAACGACGUUGUUGGAUCGAUCGACAGCGCUUGGCACCGAUCGUCACCGUCGCAGGUUGCGACCACGGGUGUAGAGAACACGGCGACGUCGCUGGUCGCACGCGUUUGCCCGCUCAGGAGUGCUCAGGAGGAUCCAUUUGCGUGGACCGGACCGUGCCGGACGAGAGAGUUUUUAAUUCUCGUUUCGUUUUCUUCCCUCCUGCCGGUCACGAGCGUCGAGGAUGGCCGACAUCAAGCAGGAACACAAGGGCGAGGAGGUCGACAGCUACGGGAUGGGCAACAGCGCCGACCCGAAGAACAUGCAGGAGCUGACGCAAUACGUGAGUCCGCGUAUUUACGCACAGGAUGACGAUGACGCAUCCGGGGACGAUCCGUCGCGACGCGACCCUGACGCUACGUUGACUCCUUUACAGGUGCAAACGCUGCUGCAGAACAUGCAGGACAAGUUUCAGACCAUGUCCGACCAGAUCAUAGGAAGAAUAGAUGAAAUGGGCAAUAGAAUAGACGAUUUGGAAAAAAAUAUCGCGGACUUAAUGACGCAAGCAGGGGUCGAAGGAGGUGAUAAAUAAGCUCAUUCUUUCCUCAAUGUACUGAUCUAUACGGAACGACUUAUCUAAAGUACCAGCCAUACUUAUUUUCACGGAACAAACAUGUAUACUGAUAGUGAGACGCCCAUCCUUUGGUUACAAUACAAAAAAUAAACUUACACUUUUUUAAAAAUGUUUUUUGUUAUUUUCAAGGAAUUCUCGUACAGCCAACCGAGAUACCGACUAAACUGACCUAACGAUUAGAUAUGCAGCUUCAAUAGAAUGCGAGAAAAUAUUUUUUUAUGUCAUCUUUAUCUUACUCUUGUUUUAUUAAAAACGAUGUUGUGCAUCUACAUUUUAAACUGACACGAAAGGUAUAAAUACGCAUUCUUCAAGAGAAAAAUGUUCACUUUGUCUUGUUCAGUCUGUAAGGUACGCGGUAUAUUAUAGACGACAUUAAAGACUUUUGACAUGUAGGAAUCGCUGGAACGGGUCUGAGAAUGUAGUGUUUCUUUACUUUGUAUCCGACACGUUUCGAAACUUUUUUCUAAAAAGAUAAAAAGACAAGGGAAUUAAAUGAGUGAUUGUAAUUACAUAGAUUUUUGCCUAGUUCUCACAGGCUUCUCUUGAAUCGAUUCCGAUUCCGUUUCCUCUGUGCUGUCUGGAUAUUCUUCGACUUGAACCGACUCGGAAGAGUUUGUGAAUGCGAUUCGGUUCCUCGAUUAGCCGAUUUCUGCGAUGCCAUGGGCGAGGAUGCGAAUCGAGUGGCCAAAUUCGUUAACGAGUAAGCCUGUCGAAACGAAGUUCUGCCCACCGUAUCUAAUCUUGCGACAGAAUCAGGAACUCUCAUUGUUUCUCGAAAUUCCUAGAUGUACCGAAGUAAUGCUUUAUUUUUGGAUAAUGCGAAAUAUUGCAUUUGAUAAUAAUAAAGUUAAUAUUGAAAUGUCA